Long non-coding RNA from Brienomyrus brachyistius, 537 nucleotides. RefSeq lists it as uncharacterized. The transcript has 3 exons. Lineage: Eukaryota; Metazoa; Chordata; Actinopteri; Osteoglossiformes; Mormyridae. The record is from RefSeq and is a predicted model, not a curated record.
CGACUCUGCUGGCCUCAAUUUAGCUGCAGAAGAGACGCUGAUCUUCACCAACUUCCAGUGGAAUCAUGAAGUCCCAUCAGAUCUCUGCCUUCUGGCUCAAAAUGUCAACAGACCAGACCAGUGCUGUUUUAGACACUAUCCUGGAGAACUGCACAUAAAGCAGAUAACUGGAUAUAAAGAGACCAGAAAGGACUGCACUAAACCUGGAAUUAUAAUUUACACCAGAAAGGAGAAUGAAGUGUGUGUCGAUCCCAAACAUCAUUGGGUUCAGGAGAUCAAGAAGAAGCUGGAUCACCCCCUCAGUAAGCCGGAUCAGUAACGCUUCCUGACUGCUUGACAAAACACAAAGAAUUAUUUCAUUUUGGCUUUUGGUUAUUUCAUUUUGGCUUCUGCAUUAAUUCUCCAGGAACAUUACCUUCUGUCGUCUUUCAAAACAUACAUUUUUACUGCAGUUUAUAUUUAAUGUUGUGUAAACAGGUAAAUUCAAAUAUAUGGCUUUGCAUGCAUGUUACUGAAUAAAAAAAUAUCGGAAGGUUA